This 512-nucleotide ribosomal RNA is filed under the name uncultured bacterium. RNAcentral's name for it is "partial 16S ribosomal RNA". It matches the Rfam family "Bacterial small subunit ribosomal RNA", at positions 28 to 507 of the family's 1533-position model. The record is from RNAcentral.
GAUGAACGCUGGCGGCGUGCCUAAUACAUGCAAGUCGAACGAAACUUCUUUAUCACCGAGUGCUUGCACUCACCGAUAAAGAGUUGAGUGGCGAACGGGUGAGUAACACGUGGGCAACCUGCCCAAAAGAGGGGGAUAACACUUGGAAACAGGUGCUAAUACAGCAUAACCAUAGUUACCGCAUGGUAACUAUGUAAAAGGUGGCUAUACUACCGCUUUUGGAUGGGCCCGCGGGGCAUUAGCUAGUUGGUAGGGUAAAGGCUUACCAAGGCAAUGAUGCGUAGCCGAACUGAGAGGUUGAUCGGCCACAUUGGGACUGAGACACGGCCCAAACUCCUACGGGAGGCAGCAGUAGGGAAUCUUCCACAAUGGGCGAAAGCCUGAUGGAGCAACGCCGCGUGGGUGAAGAAGGUCUUCGGAUCGUAAAACCCUGUUGUUAGAGAAGAAAGUGCGUGAGAGUAACUGUUCACGUUUCGACGGUAUCUAACCGGAAAGCCACGGCUAACUACGUG